UACGUAGGGUGCAAGCGUUAAUCGGAAUUACUGGGCGUAAAGCGUGCGCAGGCGGUUUUGUAAGUCUGUCGUGAAAUCCCCCGGGCUCAACCUGGGAAUUGCGAUGGAGACUGCAAGGCUAGAAUCUGGCAGAGGGGGGUAGAAUUCCACUGUAGCAGUGAAAUGCGUAGAGAUGUGGAGGAACACCGAUGGCGAAGGCAGCCCCCUGGGUCAAGAU
Molecule: ribosomal RNA, 217 nt
Filed under: uncultured bacterium
Lineage: Bacteria
Description: partial 16S ribosomal RNA
Rfam family: Bacterial small subunit ribosomal RNA
Source: RNAcentral